AUUGAACGCUGGCGGCAGGCCUAACACAUGCCAGUCGAGCGGAUGAAGGGAGCUUGCUCCUGGAUUCAGCGGCGGACGGGUGAGUAAUGCCUAGGAAUCUGCCUGGUAGUGGGGGAUAACGUCCGGAAACGGGCGCUAAUACCGCAUACGUCCUGAGGGAGAAAGUGGGGGAUCUUCGGACCUCACGCUAUCAGAUGAGCCUAGGUCGGAUUAGCUAGUUGGUGGGGUAAAGGCCUACCAAGGCGACGAUCCGUAACUGAUCUGAGAGGAUGAUCAGUCACACUGGAACUGAGACACGGUCCAGACUCCUACGGGAGGCAGCAGUGGGGAAUAUUGGACAAUGGGCGAAAGCCUGAUCCAGCCAUGCCGCGUGUGUGAAGAAGGUCUUCGGAUUGUAAAGCACUUUAAGUUGGGAGGAAGGGCAGUAAGUUAAUACCUUGCUGUUUUGACGUUACCAACAGAAUAAGCACCGGCUAACUUCGUG
This 484-nucleotide ribosomal RNA is filed under the name uncultured bacterium. RNAcentral's name for it is "partial 16S ribosomal RNA". It matches the Rfam family "Bacterial small subunit ribosomal RNA", at positions 30 to 507 of the family's 1533-position model. The record is from RNAcentral.